AUACCUUUCUCGGUCUUUUGGCUAAGAUCAAGUACUGUAUCUACUCUUAUCAGUUUAAUAUCUGAUAUGUGAGCCAUCGGCUCACUCGAAAUUAACCUUUUUUUUAUGGGGUAAAACCCGUUUCAAUAGCUUGCUAUUGGGGUCUUUCAGAGUCACCUUGGUGUUGUACUACAACCUUGGCUUGGCUCACCCCUC
Small nuclear RNA from Erigeron canadensis, 195 nucleotides. RefSeq annotates it as U2 spliceosomal RNA. The record is from RefSeq and is a predicted model, not a curated record. The transcript has a single exon. Lineage: Eukaryota; Viridiplantae; Streptophyta; Magnoliopsida; Asterales; Asteraceae.